GUUAUACAACGGGUGAAAUCCUA
Molecule: non-coding RNA, 23 nt
Filed under: Arabidopsis thaliana (thale cress)
Lineage: Eukaryota; Viridiplantae; Streptophyta; Magnoliopsida; Brassicales; Brassicaceae
Source: RNAcentral